GACGAACGCUGGCGGCGUGCUUAACACAUGCAAGUCGAACGGAAAGGCCCUGCUUUUGUGGGGUGCUCGAGUGGCGAACGGGUGAGUAACACGUGAGUAACCUGCCCUUGACUUUGGGAUAACUUCAGGAAACUGGGGCUAAUACCGGAUAGGAGCUCCUGCUGCAUGGUGGGGGUUGGAAAGUUUCGGCGGUUGGGGAUGGACUCGCGGCUUAUCAGCUUGUUGGUGGGGUAGUGGCUUACCAAGGCUUUGGCGGGUAGCCGGCCUGAGAGGGUGACCGGCCACAUUGGGACUGAGAUACGGCCCAGACUCCUACGGGAGGCAGCAAUGGGGAAUAUUGCACAAUGGGCGGAAGCCUGAUGCAGCAACGCCGCGUGCGGGAUGACGGCCUUCGGGUUGUAAACCGCUUUCGCCUGUGACGAAGCGUGAGUGACGGUAAUGGGUAAAGAAGCACCGGCUAACUACGUG
This 468-nucleotide ribosomal RNA is filed under the name uncultured bacterium. Its description in RNAcentral is "partial 16S ribosomal RNA". It matches the Rfam family "Bacterial small subunit ribosomal RNA", at positions 28 to 507 of the family's 1533-position model. The record is from RNAcentral.